UUCAAUGAACUGCUCACUUUUAAUUAAUAUUAAAAGUUUGACUGACUAAUCUUCUGUAAUGCUAUUAUGAGGAUUGCCCUUUGAGGCUUAUAGCGAUAGGUGUCCUAUGGUUGGUCACAUGAUUCGUUGAA
RNAcentral lists this non-coding RNA (131 nucleotides) under unclassified sequences. RNAcentral's name for it is "Staphylococcus-1 RNA". It matches the Rfam family "Staphylococcus-1 RNA". From Rfam's summary of the family: Firmicute (1 example). Nearby to self-splicing intron genes The record is from Rfam by way of RNAcentral.